RNAcentral lists this long non-coding RNA (1536 nucleotides) under Salvator merianae (Argentine black and white tegu). RNAcentral describes it as "lncRNA (ENSSMRG00000023273.1)". The record is from RNAcentral. Lineage: Eukaryota; Metazoa; Chordata; Lepidosauria; Squamata; Teiidae.
CCAGAAUCCACCAAGAUCCCUAAGGACUGGGUUUUGAACAAAACAGCGACCUCAGAGCCGCCUGGCCCGUCUCUCUCUUUGUGCUUUCGCCUCCCCUCAGCGCUUCCGCCUUUCUAAGAAGAUGCAAGAGCCAAAGAGACAUUAGGUCCUCCUUUAGGGCAAGGAAAGGGGGCAGAAAGACGCUGAAUUGCGGGGGGGGGGGGGAGGAAGGGAUGCGACCGCAAUCUUCCUUAUAUAUCUUGAACUCGAUAAUGAAUCCCGCGGAAUAACGUGCCAAAUAAACUAGGUAACGAGGCACAGACAAGACUGCGCUGUUAAAAAACCCAAACUGGCUGCUUCUGUGUGAGGCAGUUUGAGGAGUGACUACUAUCACCGUCUUACUGACGCAGAAACUCUAGUUAGAAAAGUCGGUAAGCUGAAGCGGGAAACUAAAGAGACACUUGAAGGACCACAAAUGCCUUGGAGUGGCAAAGUCGAGCUGCCAAGGGACACCUCUGGAGGAGCAGAGAGGGAAGAGGAGGACUGUUCUUAAGCAAGCAACAAAGGCAGACGAGAAAGAAGGGGUUGGGGAAUGCUGGACUGGGGCGGCAAAAAGAGGCACCGGUGGCUCAGCUUCGGCGGCCGACAGACAGGCUAACUAACACUACUUACUUCCAGAAAGAAAAACUUCGGAGCUGCUCCGCUUAGCCACGAAACAAGCAACAACUCCCCACCCCGCGUCUUAAUUAGCUCUGCCUGCGCUCUCUCGGCCCCCGAUGCGCCACCCAGGAACCAGAACUCACUUCCUGCUGAGCGCUGCUUUUCGCCAUGCGAGUCGGCGGAAAGGCGUCAAGCUUGGCCGGCCCGGGCGGGCGGGACGGAGGCCUUGGCACAGCUUGGCUUAAUGGGGCGAAGUUCUUGGCCUGGUUCCUUAACCUCUUUCCCCAGCGGCGCCCCUGGCUAGUUCUUGCCUCCUUGAGUCUCGGCCAAGUUCGCUCGCUCCCUCUCGCUGAAAAAAAAUUGGGGAAGCCGCCGGCUGGGGAGGAGACGGGCGGGCGUGUUUGUCCUGGGCAGCCUCCUCCACUANUCACUUCCCCUUCCUUUCUCUCUCUGGGCAACGAGGGCGUCGGAGGAUUCCGGCCCAGCAGCAAAUCACCAGCCAGCCAGAGAGAAGGCAGCGAUUUGUGGGGCAUCAGACUUUUGCUGGAUUCAGUAGGCUUUAUCCAGUCUAGCAGAUGAUUAAUUCUACUGAUGGCACAGAAAAGUGAAACAAAUGCAACCACCACCACAAGCAGAAAAAAAGGACCCCACAAACGAUUUUGUAAGGUGAGGCUAACGCGCCCAAGUCAGCACAGUCAGUGGGCAAGGAUGAUGGGAGCUGUAAUUCAACACAGGCUGUGUUAGCACUGGGCUACUGGACCAAGCGUGUGGCCCCUGGGGAAGGCUUAGCCCACACUGCAGGCCAAAUCCAGCAGCAAAACUAUGCUCCCUGGGAAAGCUGCAUCCAAAUGGACACAGUGUUGGACUUGGCUCUGGCAGGAAAAUGGCAACGAGGCC